GCCGCGGGUAAAAUCCACGCUGCGGACUGGCAGCCCUGUGGGGAGAAGGCAGAGCAAUCUCAGUAGGACCAGUGGUAAUUGUUUCCGAUCAGGCUGAGCCCUCGCUACCAUGGCUGGUCUCGGUGAGUUUCGCUGCCUGCACUCGUCUCUCUCCGCGCGCGUAUGUGGACGGACGGAUGGAUGGAUGGAGAAAGAAAACCGGUAACAAUAAUGUACAACUCUCGCUCUGACAGACAGCCCCGGAAAGGGGAGGUGAUUUCACAGCCCUCGGCUGCCACUUUCUCGUGCUCUUUGCGGUCUCUCGCCGGCUUCUUCCCCCCCUCUUUUCCCUUUUCAAGGGCUUCCCCCAAAAACAAAAGUCUGAGCGCAACCUUCGGCGUAGGAAAAGAGAGGGAAAAAGAAAAGAGAGGAGCGUGCGCGUGUCAGAAAGGCAGAUCAAAACGACGCAAAAGUCAGGCGGCAAAACCCAGCGGCAAUUAAAUCAACCCGUCUGGAGCGAUGGAGAAGGGGUGGAAAAAAAGAAGAAGAGCGCAGCUCCCGUGCCGCCGGCUGCGCGCCUGGCCGGUCCUGCUCCGGGAGCCAAAAGAGUAGAAGAGGAGGAGGAGGAGGGGAAGCAAGACUAAAAGAGAAGGGGAAAAGCCUGUGAAUGCAGCAGGUGCCUCUACAGGCAAACUGAGGGCGCAGUGGACUUUGAAUGUUAAACACCUUUUUCCUCACACUUAAAGAGAGUUCCUCUAGGCUGCACUCGGACCAUUCUUCCAGCUGUACCUGCCAGAUACAGUGGCCUCCAUCUAUAGCAGGCCAAAGAGUGUCAUGGAAAGAGAGGAUGUUUCCAUGAGGAAAUUGGAAAGAAGAAAAUCUGAGGGCAGGAUGCUGUCUACCCGUCUUCAUCCUAUGGGAACUGGAACAUUAGUGUCACUUACUCAUAUCCCCAAGGCACUUAGAGAAGACAGGUUAUAUGGAAACAUUCUGCAAUAUGAGGAAAUGUAAGUGCAUGAUAGCUCAAAUACCAGUAAUAACACUUUCAGCAUGUGCUUUAUUUUAAGAAAAAACUGCCUUGUUAUGACUGUUUUGCAAAUCUAUAAAAUCAGUCUGGCUUUUGAAUCUGAAACAGCAAGCUUAGGCCUGAGACACACAUCAGGGCAUGUACUGUAACCAGAAUAAGCUUCCUCUGAACUAAGGACCUCAUCAGACAGAAGGAUUUAGCGCAUCAAGAGCAGUCACAGAUAGGUCGUAACUGUGGAUGAUAACGUGCACGUGCACCACACCUCUAACUGUGGUCACUGAGCUGUAACAUAACCUCCUCCUGUAUCCGAGCAGUAGUGAUUUUCACCAAUUUGUAAUCUCUUUACUGUGUCAUCGAUCUGGCUUCACAAUUGAUCACUUCCAUGUGGACAAUUUAGAGGCCAAGAUCCAGGUUCUGAGUUGCCCUAAGUUGACACAUCACCCCCAACAGCUGAAAAGCUAUCCUGAUUUCCACCACCUAAAUGUGAGGUCUUGAAUUUGGAAGUUCCUUUGCUUCUGCACUGCCUGGGUUGAAAACUGUUAUAUCAUUGAAAAAGAAAACCUUGUUCAACUGGCUAAAUGGAUUUGUACUCAUACUCAGAAAGAGUCACCUUUAAAGACCAAAUCCAAAGCUUAGACAGGAGAACAGCAGCCUUUUCUCAGCAGGAUAUGACUGAGUGGCAUUAAAGAAUUAACAUCACAACUGGUUUGUGGCCUUAAUUACUGGUUGCUACCACGACAAGUGCUUUUAGAACUGCAAAGUCAUUGGUAACAGGUCCUUCCUACUUCUGAGGCAUGAGAAACUAGGAGAGCUUCCAUUUUUUUGUUGGAAGAAGUUCAGUUAAACCCUACCUGCAAACAGUCUGCAGAUCUGCUGGGCAGCAGCCCGCACUGCCCUCCCAAGGCACCCUCCUGUUCAUGGCUUAGGAAGCAGGGAGAGAGCUGAGUCCAGCUCUGGCAUUUCUCACAGGGACGCAACAUAUGUUCUCUUUGCUUUUAUAUAUUCAGGAGGGAAAACAUUGCUUUACUCUUGUCAAGUAACACUUGAUGAGUCAAGUGGAGCCUGAAAUGCUUCACUUCCUGCAAAAAUGCCUGGAAGGGCAGCAGCUCUAUCCGUAUAGGCUCAGUGUCUUCCUGGAACAUCCCCCCCAUGCUAGUGAAGACCUACAGCCCCAACAGAAGUAACUAGGAUUGGCUUCACAAAAGGAUGCUAAAGUAGUUGAAAGUCCCACCUAACAUAUAAGCAGAAAGAUGACCCUGAGGUUGGGAGGUUCUAAGACUUGGGAGGCCUCCAGCCCCAAUUUGGUCUGUGACUUUGGGUAAAUCACUUAACGAGGAAUUCACAAAGGCUAAAAGGCUAAUCUCCCUUGUCUCCCUCUGCCCUGCGAGAGAUAAUCUUCUCUUGAGGACACUUUAGAGCAGACACCUAAUUUAACCAUUUAAAAAUGUCAUAUCUCUUGGGACACGUCAUAAUUUCCAGCCUCAUAAUGGAGAUCCCAGUAAACCCCUAGUUUCUGGUGGUAUUCAAAGGAUGAAGCACCACAGACUGUAAGGAGAUCUGACAAUGCAAUAAAAAAGUCCCCGCAAGCUACAAUCUACAGAACACGCGGAGCAAGUGUGUGAUGCAUUUCUUAACACGCUCAUUAACAGACCCCCAAAUGACUGUGUGGCCACUGCUUGUGAUCACAGCAGACAGGGAAUCCUGUAUGACUAAGAAGUGGUAAAACCCAUUCUGCUGAGCCUUGCUCUAAAUUCAAUGACCUGCUCCAGCAUGGAGCUCUCUACGCAAUACUAAUGGAUGAGAAUAAUCAUUCUGACAGUGAUGAUUCGGAACAGAGCUCCCAAGUCUUUCUGAAAUGAUACACGCUAUACAUUCAUCAUCACCAGAGAAUUAAUUUUAUUGUGAUGAAUAGAGUGCAGCAGGCUGUUGUGCCAUGCUUUUUCUUGUCCAUUACAGAAGCUCCCUCAUAGUUUUUAUGAAACUUAAACUGAGGCCUUCGGCGAGACAAGAAAGAUCCUCAAGAUUUGUGAUGCCAUCAGGACAGCAGGUACUGUCAGAACACCUCACAGACAACAAGCAAGGAGAUAAAUUUGAAUGCAGAAAUUUGGAGAAGGGUCCCUCUGAAAUUACAAUCUGCCUGAAAUUCAUGCUUCUGAAAACGCCUGACAUCAUUUCACUGCAUUCAGAUCUGAAAAGGAGGAAAACAUAUUCCUAAACUUGUCCAGAUUUUCUAGAUGAAAAGCCAGAACUGUCCCACAGACUCAGUACCGUUCUUACAAGCUGCAAAUCAGGGAUACCUCUGCAUCACUUCUUUUCUGCUCUUUUCUCCUGUCUCCUCAUCUUGGUAUUUUUAAAUGCCUCUCCUUUUUCUAAGUUGCAUCCGCGUCCUGUUUCUGUCAGGGACAGCCCUAUUUAUAGGUUUUAAAGCCCUGUCCAGCUGCCUGCCCCAAGCCAUGGAGACUCACCCACUUCUCUUGGCAAGAAGCCACAACCAUUGGCUGUGCCAAGGUGCCAGAGGACCCUGUUAAAGAGACGCUCCCAGCUUUGGUUUACGCACCUCCAGUUGCAGAGAUCUAUCCUAGAUCAGUGGUUUUAUUAAUUAAUUCCCCCCAACCCAAGUCAAGAAUUUCUUGUGUUAUUUUAAGCACCAACCUAUUUCUUUACAGUCCAGCCACUGAGUCCAAUCACGUGUUUAUCUGCUUAGACUAAAUGGUCAUCUGUAGUUAGAAACCCUCUCCCCUAAGAAUAGCGUUGUACCCAUCUGAGUCUCACUUUGUACCAAUUUUGAUCCUAGUCAAAUACGCUGCCAUGCAUCCCCAGCACCCGGUGCCAGGCAGGGAAACAGGGCACUCUCAGCAGCCUCCGCAAGAACUGGCAGACACCAGAUUCCCAGUGCCAUGCUGGUGAUGAGGGUCAGACAGCACGCAGGUAGGGCUGGGAAUGAGAACUUAGGGUCCAAGCCCAAGGAUGGGGAAAGGAGACGUACCAGAAGGGGGAAGGAGGACCCUCUCACUGAGAGCUGCAGGAAUAAGGUGACUCUCCAGGGGAUGAGGGAUUUUGCUGGUGGCUUUUCCAACAGCUGGUCCUGUCAGACAGCUCCGCUCUGCUUCCGGCAUAGUCCUGCGAUCGGAUGUAGCAGCAGCACAGCUGCACUGCCCACAGGCGUCACUGCUUGAGGCAGCGGCAGUCUGUCUCAACCACCCUGAUUUAAACUCAUCCAAACUCAUCAAUUUGAAUAAACAAAAGUAACCCCAAGGUGGGCAUACUUGAAAACUGCUCAGGUGAAGCAGUACCUACCAGACAAGCCAAUACCCACAGAGGGUAUGGAGACAGGUCGAGUUCCUACAGCUGCCUCUGCCCCAUAAGGAGAGCGCUCACCCAUUCUCAUUCUGGAAGCCUUCAGAAAUGCUCCCGUGUCUCUGCUUUAAGGAGCUGUUUCAGGAUGUGUGGAUCCCCAUACUGCCAGCAAACACACCUUCUAACAAUAUAUUCCUCUGAAGAAACCUGUUAGAUCCAACAGCUUGCUGAGUGAACAAAAAGAACAAGAGCCCAAAGAGGAAUGGAAGCGUUGCUUCCUGUGCAACCCCUGAGGAUUUGUGCAUAAGCCCUGGCCUUCAGAGACACUUCAUUACCUUCCUAAUUUAUACAACACACAGGUAGUUUUUAAAUAAGACAGUGAGCCUGCCAGCUUCUUCCUGCAGGCAGAGAUCAGGGGAGGACAAAGAGCAGGCUGGACAGAGCACCCUGGCAGCUGCCUGGACAGAGGCUGUUGAUGUGCAAACAGCCCUACUGCAGAAGAAGCCUAAAGCCCCAAAAUUUUCCUUGUUUGAAACUUCUAAGAGUGUAUGAGAUGUCAAGAGAAAUCUUGACAGGCAAAGGCCCUUUGGAGGAGUCCUGGCCCUGAUAGAAUCACAUAGAGCUUUGCCACUAAUUUCAUCGGGGCUGUAAAUUCACCUCCCGAGUCCACCUCUCACCCUGUUCCCUGUAAAUUUCUCUUGGCUAGAGAAUGAUCACAACACAGAAGUAGCAAAGCAAAUAUGGAAAUUAAGGCAUACCUUCAAAUUCAAAUUCAUUUGACUGAAUUACAACAAUUUUCCAGUAAAUUCAUCGCUCAUCAAAAUGGGGAACAAACAGUGAAUCUGACUAGCCUCUGACAGACCUGGCAUAAGCAAACAAAGUGCAUAUUUCUACUGCUUCCAUCUCUGGCAGGACACUCCUAUUCCGUCCACCAGCAUCCCCUGGUAUCCCUGCCCACUCUCCUCAUCUGCUAAUGUAGCUAAGUCCUGAAAAGAUGAAGCUGCUAUUGUCAUGAAUUUUUAAUGAUGCAAGGAAAAGGCUUCUCCUUCAGGAAGAAGAAUAUUUGGUGGCAUUUACUCCCUAUGAUCAAAGCCAUUUCACGUCUCUUGUGUGAUAUUAUUAGAACACAAUACGAACUGAAAGCGGUAUUCAGAAUAAGGUCCCUAUUCAAGAAAUGCUUUCUGCAAAGAAGAAUGCCAGGACCAAUGCCAGCGGGAAGCUGGUGGCCUUACAGCACCUCUCUGCCCAUGUGUGUCUGCAGGGAAUCGCAUGACGUGACAGCCUAGUGGGGACCUUAGGGCCAGUCCCCUUGCAUCACAAGCACAAUGCUCUAAAAACAUAUUCAUUCCCCUCCAAAUGCUUCCCAACACCCAAAGCAAUUGGGCAAAUACGGCCAUCAGCAAGAAGCUUGAAUCUAAUGAUGUAAUAUGCCACGGAAAGACCUAUAUUUUAGGUCUCUGCUGGUAUUUAGUAAAUAAAAUUCCCAGAGGAUGACAGGAAAAGGACUAUGUUCCAAAAGCAAAAGGCAGCUGCUAGUAGGAUGAGGGUGAAGCUAAUUAUACGGCUCCCAUGCUCCCAAACCUUGCAUUAUUUCUGUGCUGAGUGCGUGCUUGGGACAUACCAAGGAACCACCUGAGAUCUAAUGCCAUAAACAGUGCUUACACGCUCUGUCUGUCCUGUCACCAUCUAGGCCAAUCCUCCAGUGCCAAGAAGCAAAUGGGGACCUUACAAGAAGAUCUGUUAAGCAUCCGCUAAGGAGAAAGGAAAUGUUGAGCUAGUAGGAAAGAGGAGGUUGAGACAGAUUUGGCUGUAUGGAUUAAUUCCAGGUAUUUUCUAUUUCUCCCCUUACUGAAGGACACAAUAGAGUAUAGGUUUUUGGAAAGUUUCUCCCAUUGACUUCAAACAAACUCUCCUCACGUCCCUGACAAACACGGUACAUGAAAUUAUUCCGCAGUGAAAUAUCUUUGGUAGCCAAAUAUGCUAUAAUUAUGAAUUGUCAUGUCUUAUUGCUGUAACUCAAUCAAUAAGGAAACACCAAGAGGCCAAACUAAUAAAGCUCCUAGCCACAAGCAAUGUAUGUCAUGUAAAUUACCGCCAUCAUUACUCAAGAACUUCCAAAACGAAUCUGUCCCUUAUUGAUGUUUGAUGAGUGCUUCAUGAAAAGCUGAUGCCUUGUUCACACUAUAACUAUGAAUGGGGAUGAGGAUGCAUUGUUCAUACAAACUGAAAUGUUCAGCCUCAUUUCCAUGGCUGAAGGACUGAGAUACCUGUGAUUAAGGGAUACCUGCAAACACAAUUGCCAGUUGAGCCACACUGCUUAUGCUACCAGACACGUCUCCACACUGUAAGCCGUCAAGUAAAACACAUCUGCACAACUAUCACAAAACUUAAGGGAACCACAACUGGAAUUGAAGUGAAAUUUAUGCAUUUUGGUAAACAUAAUGUCUAUAAAUUAAUGUUGAUAUCAUGUGAUGGUAUGCUUCCCCCACCCCUCUGCAACCUGAUCUAUAUUUCCUGUAAUCCUUUUAAAGCAAUAACCAACAAAGGUGGUUGUGAUUGCUGUAUCCAACUUGAGCAUUUAAUAAACAUCAACAACGGUCAUGAUGGAUGUGACAGGUCAUGAUGGUUGCAUUCCACUCAAUGUGGAUUUGGGGAAGACAGGUAACAACACAGUAACUAAGGGCUAACUUGAGCAAUGCCCUCACCUGUCCACGGUGCAGGUCAAUGCGUGACUCAAGCCAAAUUUGGAAGAAACUAAGAUCUGCAUUCAGUAUGCAAAUAUGACUAUGAGUCAAUCACCUUACCUCAUAAACAGUGAGCAGCCCAGGAGCACAUUGAGCUCUCCUGUACAACAGUGGGAUGUACAACACGAUCUCCCCUUGAGUAGGAAUGCCUCUUGAGGUUAUGUCUACUGAAGAGAUUCCCUACAUCUUGACAUCAAGAGAAUCCUUGCUGUGACAGGUCCUCAUAAACACUCUUGGCAAGAAGCUUACAGGGCCACAGAACCUUUGCUCUGGAACAAAACCUACACUGUGGGCCUGAUCCUGGACACAGGGAAGUGGAGGCCUGCUGGAAGGCUGGCAGAAAUUCAGUGGCUGCAAGGCAAUUUGGACAAACUGAAGCUCAUCCUGACACUGCCCGGCUUUAGCUAAUGACUGCCGACCACAGAGGAGGAAAGAAAGCACUAUUGCCCCAGUACCUGUGUGAAUUCAGCUGGAUUUUUGUUUCCCAAAUGAAAACAUCUGGUAGGAUUUCCCCAAACGUGCAAGCUGCUUUUAGAGAACUCCACAUUAUAUUUUCAAUGUUAAUUCAAAAAAAAACAAAACAAAACAAAACCAAAACCCUCAUUUCCUGCCUCUACUAAAUGAUAAAACUUGAAGUUAUCCGCUGCCCCUUCAGAGUACGGACUCAGCCCCCACGUACAGUCUUCACUCCCUUGUGCUGCUUCUCUGUGCAAGUUUCUGAAGAAACGGUGUUCUUCCCUCUGCCCUUUUCCUUGCUCAGGCACAACAGUCAUGUGGAUGUUACUGGGCCAGCAUCACAGAGUCUAAAAGAGGUUCUCAAGGUCCUGGCCUCGUAGAAGUAGCCUCCUAAUCCUUAGGCAACAACCCACUAGGAGCUGCAGCAAUGGGGCAAAUCUUUCUGCUUCAUAUUGACCGAAAUCAAUGCCAUGUUACUGCUUAUUGCGUCAUGGGGUUUUAUAUAGCAGACUUUCUCCCCUAAGAAGGAGACCACACGUGUGGAAGGACUUGGAUUUUUAAGCUUCUCUGAUUUACAUAUAGCACACCAUGCUGGCCUUGAGGAACUAGACACCGGAAAUACAUAGAAAGAAAGCAAACAGAGCAAAGGGGGAAGAAUAAAACCACCUCUGUGUUUUAACAGCCUGACACAUCAGUUACCAGAAGAGAAGAGAAAGUCUCUUCUCCAAAGAAAUAUCAUUGUUAUCCUUUAAUGGAGACCUACUGACAGUCCUGAAGAGUUGCUGUAUGCCCUAGACACCAGUUUGAUGACAAAGGGAUGCACAGAGCCAUGACAGUGAGGGAAUGACCUGUCAGUGCCACUUGUGCCUUCUGCGAGUGUUUCUGCUUCUGAAAACAUAAUGCAAUUUUGAAAGAUCAUGAAAAACUUCAUCUUAUUUCUAUAAAUCUCACAGACAGAAAGAGCCUGCACUAGAAGGCAGCUUCUCCAGAGCUUAGCUACCUGCUCAUGGCCACGGAUGUCCUUUCUAUGUGGCACCUUGCAUUUCCAUUGGAGAUGGCCCCGUAACAGGAAUACUUGUAGCCCAUUUCCUUAUAUGUCUGGGUUCAUCCUCAGGUCACUUCUGGUCCAUACAGUUCCUUUCCUUCCAUUAACUCCCAGCACUGACACUUCUGCUGUGAGAACACAACACCCUAAAGAGCCUUGUGCCUAUCAGUUCCCCGGUCCUAAUCUCUCCCUUAGGACACACAGUAGGCUUCUUUAUACCAGACAGGCUGUCUUUGCUGCAGUACCAUAGGUAAAUCCCCCAGAUUUCUAUCGGGUCAUUUUGCAGGGACAAACACACACAGCCAGCGUAGCCUCAGGAUUCCACGGACACACCGCCUGCCUCAGAUGAGGCAGCACAGCCGGGUGGAACGGCUGCAAAGCAAGAGCAGAGGCCUUCCAACUCCAGCUCCCCUGAGAGCUGGCGAUACUGCUGGGUAAACAAAGUUUAUCUAGAAACUGGCUGAGCUGUGCGGCUCCACUGAGCUUCUCUGAGCCGACCGAAGAGGCAGCGCUUCGCUUAGGUCUUCCCAGAGACAGUACAAAACGUAACGUAAAUAAAUAACUGCAGCGACAAAUAGAAAACAGGGAAAAAAAUCACUCCUCUCCCAAACGUUGGACGCUGUAGUUCCCAUUUUAAAACGUUGUGCACAGCACAUUUCAGAGCAUCUCACCCUGGCUGGCAACCACUCCCUUCCCUCCCCCCUCCCUCACACACAAGGGACUGCUCCCUAUUAGCUAGCAAAUGGAGCUUUCCAUCUCCUCCCUUAAUUACUGCCCUGAUACCAACAUCCCGCACAAACACAGGUGGAUUUGAACUUCCAUCAGAGAGCCGUAGCAUCUGCUGAGCACAGAGAGAUUUCUUUUGUUAAAACAAUUAAAAAUAAGUAUCCGAUUGUCUCUACGAGAACUGCGGACAGGACGUCGUGAAAAACCCACUGCUGGCUGAAAACUGGCAGCUGCUCCUCAGUCUGACAGAAUAAUUAAAACCGGUGUGACAAUAAUUAGCACUUCUAUGGCUCUUUUCAUCCGCGUAUAUCAAAGCACUUCACAGAAACAAGUGCAGCUACCUCUUUUUAAAGCUGUGCUCAGAAGAGAAAAAAAAA
This is a long non-coding RNA of Gallus gallus (chicken), 9651 nucleotides long. RefSeq lists it as uncharacterized. The transcript has 3 exons. The record is from RefSeq and is a predicted model, not a curated record. NCBI's taxonomy places the organism in Eukaryota, Metazoa, Chordata, Aves, Galliformes, Phasianidae.